RNAcentral lists this ribosomal RNA (477 nucleotides) under uncultured bacterium. RNAcentral describes it as "bacterial SSU rRNA". It matches the Rfam family "Bacterial small subunit ribosomal RNA", at positions 8 to 530 of the family's 1533-position model. The record is from RNAcentral.
AGAGUUUGAUCCUGGCUCAGAACGAACGCUGGCGGCAUGCCUAACACAUGCAAGUCGAACGAGAUCUUCGGGUCUAGUGGCGACACGGGUGCGUAACGCGUGGGAAUCUGCCCUUUGGUUCGGAAUAACAGUUGGAAACGACUGCUAAUACCGGAUGAUGACGAAAGUCCAAAGAUUUAUCGCCAGAGGAUGAGCCCGCGUAGGAUUAGCUAGUUGGUGUGGUAAAGGCGCACCAAGGCGACGAUCCUUAGCUGGUCUGAGAGGAUGAUCAGCCACACUGGGACUGAGACACGGCCCAGACUCCUACGGGAGGCAGCAGUGGGGAAUAUUGGACAAUGGGCGAAAGCCUGAUCCAGCAAUGCCGCGUGAGUGAUGAAGGCCUUAGGGUUGUAAAGCUCUUUUACCCGGGAUGAUAAUGACAGUACCGGGAGAAUAAGCUCCGGCUAACUCCGUGCCAGCAGCCGCGGUAAUACGGAG